UUGCCGGCCCCAGUUCCCCCGAGCUUCCUCAGCUGGCCACUUAGCAGGUGCGGCCGAAUUAGGGACCCUGCGCCCAGACGACGUUGGGAGUUGGAGGUUUUUCCCUCUCCUGCUUCGGGGAGAUGAGGGACCCCUAACUCUCUACGCCGGUUCUGCGAAGGCGCCGCCCUAGGGUCACAGCACAUUGGCCCUGCCAAGAGGGACCUGGACUCUCCCCUCCCCCGGAGACACAGCCGGUGCCAGGGUCCUUCUGCCAGCCUUGCUCGACAGCGACGGCCGUGGACACAGCUUCCGCAGAAUAGCAAGGCAUUUUUUAAAGUUGACUUACAACAGGCAUCUGUUAGAUGAAUUGUCUGAGAUCACACAGCUGAUAAAAGGAGGGCAGGUACAAGAAAGCAGACCUCCUGACCCAAGUUCAAGCUCAUUCUGUGCACAAAGGCACUCUCCUCCACCAGUGUUUCACAUUGAAAUCAAGGGUGAAGAUUACGCAUGCCACAGCUGAUAUGUAAGAAUCAACGUGCACGACUCUGUGUCCACAUCCUCAGGGCUGGCAGGAGAAGACUAAGAAUGAAAACUACAUACGAAAGACUGGAGACAGAGAUAAACCAUUUUCAAGAAUAUUCAUCUUGGAAUGGAUUAAACACGGGACGGUAGGUCUGUGAGACCCCUGCGGCAGCAGCAGCAGGAGCCGCAGCAGCAGGGGUGGUCCUGCAUGCAGGCUCUGCAGAAUGACCUUUCACCAUGGACACUGCGGUCAAUGACUGCCACGUCAGCGGUGGUACUGGCUCACUCACUUCCCUGCAGCACCGUGCACCCGGUAAUGGCUCUUCCUCUCGUGAACCAGCUACCCAGAGACAAACUGCCAAGAAAACACUACCUGGGACUCAACAUCAAGCUUCCAGCCAGCUUGGAACAUUGCCCAACGCAUGCGGGCACCUGUAUUGCGUAGCAGAUCCAGCUGUGGGUUCCUCUGAAGCCAGGCUGCCUGUUGCAGCUGUAACCUGAAGCUGUCAGUAGUGAGACGUGUGCACACUCCUGGUGCAUGUGGCAGUGCUGUGGAUAGAAUGAAGGCUCACAUUUUGAAGUGGUAGGAGGGAGAAGGUGCUAUUUUGGGAUCAUCUGGAAUGAGCUUUGCUGCCUGAUUACCACAGUGGAAGUGUAAUGCUAUGGUGAUUAUGAGGUAUUAGGCUGAGUGGAAUAGUUAAUAAAUAACUGGUCAAGAAGACAGAGGCAAUGGAGGAGCCGAGAGACAAGGACGAUAUUUAUUAUUUACUAUGUGGACAGAGCAUUACACUCAAUUGCAUUGUGAUGUUCCAUGUUCUUCUGUAAGGUAGAAUCCCCAUCAGAGAUGAAAGAUUAGUAAAUGGAAUCUCUGAGAAGAAAAGCAUAUGAAGACUGCCAGCUAUGAAGACUAAAAUAAAUCCAUCAUCUUUCCCUGGUACCAUUCUGCUCCAAGCAAGAAAGAUUUUCUUUUAAAAAAAAUGGCUCCAAGGACUAGAAUUUCCUCCCAUUUCCCCCACAGCAUUGGAAACAGAGCUUAGUCAUGCAAUCAAUGGCAAUCGAGAGACUUUUAUGAAAGAAGAGACUCCAGAGGGAGGCUGGAUAUAAGGUAGCCAUCAGGGAGUCAUUUCAGUUUGGUGCUUUGGACCACUUUGACCAUCUUUCCAGACUAAUCUAAAAUCCUCCCUUCUUUGAUAAGCCUUAAUUGACCAUUUCAUCCUACCCUAUUCUGCUCUGAUUUAGAAGCAUUGUCUGUGUAAUGCAUGUAACAAUAACUCAUUUCUGCCCUUGUGAUAGCUAUUCUACAAUUGCCUUGAACUGAGAUUUCACUCUGGUCUGACGAUUUGUUUUUGUGUACAUAUGUCUACCCCAAGUUUGAUUAUAAGCACUGUAGGGUGAAGACUGUCAUAAAUAUAUUUAAAAUCCUUUCUUCUUUACUGAACCUUAGCACAGUGAUGAACACAUUGGAAAGCCUCAACACAUAUUUACUCAUUUCAUAUAAAUGUCAUGCAAUAAUUUCUGAACCAAAAAUCUGAUGGAAACCUAGUUAGCUUUUGAAGACCAGGUGUUUUUCAUUUAUUAUCUGUGGUAUUAUGCAGAAUUUGCCACAAUAAUUGGGAAGUAACUCUCGUCAGAGUCUUUUUCUCUUGAAUCUGGGUUGGCUUUUUGAUUUGUUCUGAGCAUUUGAAUGUGUUGAGAAUGAUGUACGAGAUCUGAGCUUAGGCCUCAAGGACCCAGCUGAGCCCAGCAAAAGAACUGCUUAGCUAAGACCAGCCCAAAUUGCUCACCCACAGAACUGUGAGUUAAAAAAAAAUGGUUAUUACUAUAAAUCACCAGGUUUUAGGGUGAUUUGUUAGGCAGCGAAAGUUGACUGAUACAUAAUCUUCUUUAGUUACUGUGAAAAAUCCAUGAUAUAUAUAUUUUUGUGCUAAAUUAUGGGAUAGGAAGCAAGGAUUCAGGAGUAAUGUGAGAAAGACUGAUCAUAAUUAGUCUUUUUUUGGGGGGGGGCUAUUGGAGAUUGAAUUCAGGGGCACUUGACCACCGAACCACAUCCCCAGCCCUAUUUAAAAAAUUUUUUUUUGUUUAGUUGGACAUAAUACCUUUAUUUUAUUUAUUAAUUUUUAUGUGGUGCUGAGGAUCAAACCCAGCACCUCCCAUGUGCUGGGUGAGCGCUCCACUGCUGAGCCACAACCCCAGCCCUCCCCAGCCCUAUUUUGUAUUUUAUUUAGAGACAGAGUCUCACUGAGUUGCUUUGCACCUUGCUGUUGCUGAGGCUGGCUUUGAACUCACGAUCCUCCUGUCUCAGCCUCCCGAGCUGCUGGGAUUACAGGUGUGUGCCACAGCACCUGGCCAUAAUUAGUCUUUAAGAUCUGUCAUGAGUUAGCUUCUUUUAGUAAACAUUACCUGGAUGGGGAAACAUAACAGGCAGCACAUGUCAGCCAGCAUUGGUCUGAUGUGGCGGGGCCAAAGAAAUGUUUGUUGGCAGAAGUCAGGAAAAGUUCAGACCAUGAGUUGCCUACAAUAGCUUGAAAGAACAGGCAAAGCCAAACUUGAGAACUCCUGGGUCCGUAUGUUCAUGCUGAACUGAGAUAUCCUGGAGUUCCCAAAGAGGGAAAAAACAACAGGGACUAGUAAAUUCACUGAACACAUCUUAUGUACCAGAGACUGGUAGGUUUCUAAUCCACACAAUGCAAUAUUACUUAGCCAUAAAGAAGAAUGAAAUUGUGGAUGGAACUAGAGAAUAUCAUGCUAAGUGAAAUAAGCCAGUCUCAAGAAACCAAAGGCUGAAUGUUCUCUCCAAUAUGUGGAUGCUAACCCAUAGCAAGGGAAGGCACGGAGGGGAAGUAUAGAAGUUCAUUCGAUUAGACAACGGGGAAUAAAGGGAAGAGAGAAGGGGGUGGGAGUACAAAAGACAGUAGAAUGAAUCAGACAUAACUUUCCUAUACUCAUAUAUGAACAUAAGAGCAGUGUAAUUCCACAUCAUGUUCAACCACAAGAAUGGGGUCAAAAUUGGAAUGGGUUGCACUUCAUGUAUGUAUACUAUGUCAAAAUACACCCUACUAUCAUGUAUAUCUAUAAACAAUAAAUAAAAAAAUGUCCUAGGUGAAUCUGAGAGAAAUUCAA
Marmota monax (woodchuck) is the source of this 3624-nucleotide long non-coding RNA. RefSeq lists it as uncharacterized. The transcript has 8 exons. NCBI's taxonomy places the organism in Eukaryota, Metazoa, Chordata, Mammalia, Rodentia, Sciuridae. The record is from RefSeq and is a predicted model, not a curated record.